GUUCCUACGGGGGGCAGCAGUGGGGAAUAUUGCACAAUGGGGGAAACCCUGAUGCAGCGACGCCGCGUGAGUGAAGAAGUAAUUCGUUAUGUAAAGCUCUAUCAGCAGGGAAGAAAAUGACGGUACCUGAGUAAGAAGCCCCGGCUAACUACGUGCCAGCAGCCGCGGUAAUACGGAGGAUGCGAGCGUUAUCCGGAUUUAUUGGGUUUAAAGGGUGCGUAGGCGGGACGGUAAGUCAGCGGUAAAAAUGCGGAGCUCAACUCCGUCGAGCCGUUGAAACUGUCGUUCUUGAGUGAGCGAGAAGG
RNAcentral lists this ribosomal RNA (305 nucleotides) under uncultured bacterium. Its description in RNAcentral is "bacterial SSU rRNA". It matches the Rfam family "Bacterial small subunit ribosomal RNA", at positions 335 to 658 of the family's 1533-position model. The record is from RNAcentral.